AUCUAUAAUAUUAUUAUUUUUUUUAUUUUGUUAAUUGCAAGUCUAAAAGCACCACACACAAUUCUUUUGGUAAUGUGAAUUGCAUUAAGC
This is a long non-coding RNA of Rhagoletis zephyria (snowberry fruit fly), 90 nucleotides long. RefSeq lists it as uncharacterized. The record is from RefSeq and is a predicted model, not a curated record. Lineage: Eukaryota; Metazoa; Arthropoda; Insecta; Diptera; Tephritidae.